UACGGAGGAUGCGAGCGUUAUCCGGAUUUAUUGGGUUUAAAGGGUGCGUAGGCGGAUCGUUAAGUCAGUGGUCAAAUUGAGGGGCUCAACCCCUUCCCGCCAUUGAAACCGGCGAUCUUGAGUGGAAGAGAAGUAUGCGGAAUGCGUGGUGUAGCGGUGAAAUGCGUAGAUAUUAGGAGGAACACCAGUGGCGAAGGCGGCUUGCUGGACUGUAACUGACGUUGAGGCUCGAAAGCGUGGGGAGCAAACAGG
Molecule: ribosomal RNA, 252 nt
Filed under: uncultured bacterium
Lineage: Bacteria
Description: partial 16S ribosomal RNA
Rfam family: Bacterial small subunit ribosomal RNA
Source: RNAcentral